CUUGUCUCAAAGAUUAAGCCAUGCAUGUCUAAGUAUAAGCAAUUAUACAGCGAAACUGCGAAUGGCUCAUUAUAUAAGUUAUCGUUUAUUUGAUAGCACCUUACUACUUGGAUAACCGUGGUAAUUCUAGAGCUAAUACAUGCUAAAAAUCCCGACUUCGGAAGGGAUGUAUUUAUUAGAUUAAAAACCAAUGCCUUCGGGCUUUCUGGUGAUUCAUGAUAACUUCUCGAAUCGCAUGGCCUUGCGCCGGCGAUGGUUCAUUCAAAUUUCUUCCCUAUCAACUUUCGAUGCGAAGGUCUUGUCUUCGCAUGGUUACAACGGGUAACGGAGGGUUAGGGCUCGACCCCGGAGAGGGAGCCUGAGAAAUGGCUACCACUUUUAAGGAAGGCAGCAGGCGCGCAAAUUACCCAAUCCCGACACGGGGAGGUAGUGACAAUAAAUACUGAUACAGGGCUCUUAUGGGUCUUGUAAUCGGAAUGAGUACAAUUUAAAUCCCUUAACGAGGAACAAUUGGAGGGCAAGUCUGGU
RNAcentral lists this ribosomal RNA (528 nucleotides) under Seychellomyces hexagonus. Its description in RNAcentral is "SSU rRNA". It matches the Rfam family "Eukaryotic small subunit ribosomal RNA", at positions 31 to 565 of the family's 1831-position model. The record is from RNAcentral. Lineage: Eukaryota; Fungi; Ascomycota; Sordariomycetes; Microascales.